UACGAAGGGGGCUAGCGUUGCUCGGAAUUACUGGGCGUAAAGGGCGCGUAGGCGGACAGUUUAGUCAGAGGUGAAAGCCCAGGGCUCAACCUUGGAAUUGCCUUUGAUACUGGCUGUCUUGAGUUCGGGAGAGGUGAGUGGAAUGCCGAGUGUAGAGGUGAAAUUCGUAGAUAUUCGGCGGAACACCAGUGGCGAAGGCGACACGCUGGGCCGUACCUGACACUGAUGCGCGACAGCAUGGGGAGCAAACAGG
Molecule: ribosomal RNA, 253 nt
Filed under: uncultured bacterium
Lineage: Bacteria
Description: partial 16S ribosomal RNA
Rfam family: Bacterial small subunit ribosomal RNA
Source: RNAcentral